RNAcentral lists this ribosomal RNA (693 nucleotides) under Clostridium cadaveris. RNAcentral describes it as "partial 23S ribosomal RNA". The record is from RNAcentral. Lineage: Bacteria; Bacillati; Bacillota; Clostridia; Eubacteriales; Clostridiaceae.
CGAUUAAGUUAUAAAGGGCGCAYGGCGAAUGCCUUGGCAUCAGGAGCCGAAGAAGGACGUGAUAAGCUGCGAUAAGCUUUGGGUAGCCGCAAAUAGGCAGAGAUCCAAAGAUUUCCGAAUGAGGAAACUCACAUGGGAAACCCCAUGUAUCCUGUAAUGAAUAAAUAGUUGCAGGAAGGUAAACCCAGGGAACUGAAACAUCUAAGUACCUGGAGGAAGAGAAAGAAACAUCGAUUCUCUAAGUAGCGGCGAGCGAAAGGGGAAGAGCCCAAACCAAGAAUUUAUUCUUGGGGUUGAGGACAGAACAUAAACUUAGGAGGCUAUUGUAAUUGAACACAACUGGAAGGUUGGGCCAUAGAGUGUAAAAGCCACGUAGAUGAAACAAGAAGACCUAAAGUUCUGAUCCAGAGUACCACGAGACACGUGAAACCUUGUGGGAAGCAGGGAGGACCACCUCCCAAGGCUAAAUACUACCUGAUGACCGAUAGUGAAGCAGUACCGUGAGGGAAAGGUGAAAAGAACCCCGGGAGGGGAGUGAAAUAGAACCUGAAACCGUGUGCCUACAACCGGUCAGAGCACUUUAUAUGUGUGAUGACGUGCUUUUUGUAGAACGAGCCAGCGAGUUACGGUAUGUAGCGAGGUUAAGGACUUAAGGUCUGGAGCCGAAGGGAAACCGAGUCUUAAAAGGGCGAA